ACUCCUACGGGAGGCAGCAGUGGGGAAUAUUGCACAAUGGGCGCAAGCCUGAUGCAGCCAUGCCGCGUGUAUGAAGAAGGCCUUCGGGUUGUAAAGUACUUUCAGCGGGGAGGAAGGCAAUACGGUUAAUAACCGUGUUGAUUGACGUUACCCGCAGAAGAAGCACCGGCUAACUCCGUGCCAGCAGCCGCGGUAAUACGGAGGGUGCAAGCGUUAAUCGGAAUUACUGGGCGUAAAGCGCACGCAGGCGGUCUGUCAAGUCGGAUGUGAAAUCCCCGGGCUCAACCUGGGAACUGCAUUCGAAACUGGCAGGCUUGAGUCUUGUAGAGGGGGGUAGAAUUCCAGGUGGAGCGGUGAAAUGCGUAGAGAUCUGGAGGAAUACCGGUGGCGAAGGCGGCCCCCUGGACAAAGACUGACGCUCAGGUGCGAAAGCGUGGGGAGCAAACAGGAUUAGAUACCCUAGUAGUCCC
Molecule: ribosomal RNA, 470 nt
Filed under: uncultured organism
Description: partial 16S ribosomal RNA
Rfam family: Bacterial small subunit ribosomal RNA
Source: RNAcentral